GAUCAAGCGACUAAGUGUAUGUGGUGGAUGCCUUGGCGAUCACAGGCGAUGAAGGACGUGACAGCCUGCGAAAAGCUGUGGGGAGCUGGCAAAUAAGCUUUGAUCCACAGAUGUCCGAAUGAGGGAACUCACCUGCUUUGCAGGUAUCCCAUCCUGAAUAUAUAGGGAUGGGAGGCGAACGAAGCGAACUGAAACAUCUAAGUAGCUUCAGGAAAAGAAAUCAACCGAGAUUCCGAAAGUAGCGGCGAGCGAAAUCGGAUCAGCCCAGCACUCGAUAGCAGCCAACUUACGGGAACGGGCUGGAAAGUCCGGCCAUAGGGGGUGAUAGCCCCUUACUGGAAAAGGCAGCUGUGGUACUAAGUGUGCGAUAAGUAGAGCGGGACACGUGACAUCCUGCGCGAAGAUGGGGGGACCAUCCUCCAAGGCUAAAUACUCGUGAUCGACCGAUAGCGUACCAGUACUGUGAAGGAAAGGUUAAAAGAACCCCGGGAGGGGAGUGAAAUAGAUCCUGAAACCGCAUACAUACAAACAGUAGGAGCCUCGUUAAGGGGUGACUGCGUACCUUUUGCAUAAUGGGUCAGCGACUUACGUUUAAUGGCGAGCUUAACCGUAUAGGGGAGGCGCAGCGAAAGCGAGUUCGAACAGAGCGUUCAGUCGUUAGGCGUAGACCCGAAACCAGAUGAUCUAUCCAUGGCCAGGUUGAAGGUGUGGUAACACACACUGGAGGACCGAACCGACUAGUGUUGCAAAAUUAGCGGAUGAGCUGUGGAUAGGGGUGAAAGGCUAAACAAAUCUGGAGAUAGCUGGUUCUCCCCGAAAACUAUUGAGGUAGUGCCUCGUGUAUGACUCCAGGGGGUAGAGCACUGUUAUGGCUAGGGGGACAUGGCGUCUUACCAAACCAUGGCAAACUCCGAAUACUUGGAAGUUUGAGCACGGGAGACAGAGCACCGGGUGCUAACGUCCGGACUCAAGAGGGAAACAACCCAGACCGCCGGCUAAGGUCCCUAAUAUUGACUAAGUGGAAAACGAAGUGGAAAGGCUAAGACAGUCAGGAAGUUGGCUUAGAAGCAGCCAUCCUUCAAAGAAAGCGUAAUAGCUCACUGAUCGAGUCUUUCUGCGCGGAAGAUGUAACGGGGCUAAGUCAAUAACCGAAGCCGCGGAUUCACACUUGUGUGUGAGUGGUAGGGGAGCGUUCUGUAAGCCUGCGAAGGUGACUCGUAAGGGUUGCUGGAGGUAUCAGAAGUGCGAAUGCUGACAUGAGUAACGUUAAAGCGGGUGAAAAGCCCGCUCGCCGUAAGCCCAAGGUUUCCUGCUCUACGUUCAUCGGAGCAGGGUGAGUCGGCCCCUAAGGUGAGGCUGAGAAGCGUAACUGAUGGGAACAAGGUUAAUAUUCCUUGACCACCGCUGAAUGCGAAGGGGGGACGGAGUAUUGAAGAUCAUCCGGGUGUUGGAUAUCCCGGUUUGCGAGCGUAGGAGGCUGACAGGCAAAUCCGUCAGCGAAUCUCCGAGGCGAAGCAUCGAGCUCUCUUUUGAGCGAAGUGAUUGGAUGUGCUUCCAGGAAAAGCCUCUAAGCUCCAGUUCAGCGGGACCGUACCGCAAACCGACACUGGUGGGCGAGCUGAAUAUGCUCAGGCGCUUGAGAGAACUCAGGAGAAGGAACUCGGCAAAUUGACACCGUAACUUCGGGAUAAGGUGUGCCUUUGUAGCGUGGAGGGAGAAACACCCCGAGCGCGAAGAGGUCUCAGAUAAUCGGUGGCUGCGACUGUUUAUUAAAAACACAGCACUCUGCAAAGACGAAAGUCGACGUAUAGGGUGUGAUGCCUGCCCGGUGCUGGAAGAUUAAUUGAUGGGGUGCAAGCUCCUGAUCGAAGUCCCAGUAAACGGCGGCCGUAACUAUAACGGUCCUAAGGUAGCGAAAUUCCUUGUCGGGCAAGUU
This 1936-nucleotide ribosomal RNA is filed under the name Sutterella sp. RNAcentral's name for it is "partial 23S ribosomal RNA". It matches the Rfam family "Bacterial large subunit ribosomal RNA", at positions 1 to 1982 of the family's 2925-position model. Lineage: Bacteria; Pseudomonadati; Pseudomonadota; Betaproteobacteria; Burkholderiales; Sutterellaceae. The record is from RNAcentral.